This 507-nucleotide ribosomal RNA is filed under the name uncultured Sphingomonas sp. RNAcentral describes it as "bacterial SSU rRNA". It matches the Rfam family "Bacterial small subunit ribosomal RNA", at positions 218 to 742 of the family's 1533-position model. The record is from RNAcentral. Lineage: Bacteria; Pseudomonadati; Pseudomonadota; Alphaproteobacteria; Sphingomonadales; Sphingomonadaceae.
CCCAGGGAUGAGCCCGCGUAGGAUUAGCUAGUUGGUUGGGUAAAGGCUGACCAAGGCGACGAUCCUUAGCUGGUCUGAGAGGAUGAUCAGCCACACUGGGACUGAGACACGGCCCAGACUCCUACGGGAGGCAGCAGUAGGGAAUAUUGGACAAUGGGGGCAACCCUGAUCCAGCAAUGCCGCGUGAGUGAUGAAGGCCUUAGGGUUGUAAAGCUCUUUUACCCGGGAUGAUAAUGACAGUACCGGGAGAAUAAGCCMVVGCUAACUCCGUGCCAGCAGCCGCGGUAAUACGGAGGGGGCUAGCGUUGUUCGGAAUUACUGGGCGUAAAGCGCACGUAGGCGGCGAUUUAAGUCAGAGGUGAAAGCCCGGGGCUCAACCCCGGAAUAGCCUUUGAGACUGGAUUGCUUGAACAUCGGAGAGGUGAGUGGAAUUCCGAGUGUAGAGGUGAAAUUCGUAGAUAUUCGGAAGAACACCAGUGGCGAAGGCGGCUCACUGGACGAUUGUUG